RNAcentral lists this ribosomal RNA (486 nucleotides) under uncultured bacterium. RNAcentral describes it as "bacterial SSU rRNA". It matches the Rfam family "Bacterial small subunit ribosomal RNA", at positions 8 to 521 of the family's 1533-position model. The record is from RNAcentral.
AGAGUUUGAUCCUGGCUCAGGAUGAACGCUGGCGGCGUGCCUAACACAUGCAAGUCGAGCGAUUCUCUUCGGAGAAGAGCGGCGGACGGGUGAGUAACGCGUGGGUAACCUGCCCUGUACACACGGAUAACAUACCGAAAGGUAUGCUAAUACGAGAUAAUAUGCUUUUAUCGCAUGGUAGAAGUAUCAAAGCUUUUGCGGUACAGGAUGGACCCGCGUCUGAUUAGCUAGUUGGUAAGGUAACGGCUUACCAAGGCGACGAUCAGUAGCCGACCUGAGAGGGUGAUCGGCCACAUUGGAACUGAGACACGGUCCAAACUCCUACGGGAGGCAGCAGUGGGGAAUAUUGCACAAUGGGCGAAAGCCUGAUGCAGCAACGCCGCGUGAGCGAUGAAGGCCUUCGGGUCGUAAAGCUCUGUCCUCAAGGAAGAUAAUGACGGUACUUGAGGAGGAAGCCCCGGCUAACUACGUGCCAGCAGCCGCGGU